UUUCAGCAGAGCCAAGGAAUGGGAGGCGCCCUAGCCUCCCCGCAGGCCACAGCGCUGGGACUCCUGCCUUCCCUGCUAUCUCCCUGAGGCAAGGGGUUGGAGGUUAGCACGGAGUGUUUCUCAAUCAUUUUCCACCUUACAUUUUAAGACAUGGUGUGUCACUGAACCUGGAACUCACCAACUCUGCUAGACUGGUUCUGACAAUUGCUCUAGCACAGAUGAACUUUGAGGGCAUUAAGCCCACUGAAAUAAGCCAGUGACAAAAAGACAAAUGUUGUGAUCACACUUAAAUAAGGUAAGUAGACUGUCGGUCAAGCAGGUAGGGGCAGAAAGCAGAACGCUAGCCGCUAGGGGAUGUGGGGAGGGCAGAAUGGGCAUUUGUUGUUUAAUGGAUGUAAAGGUUCAGUUUUGCAAAAGGAAAAGGUGAGGCUGAGGACAUUGCUCUCUAGCAGAACGCUCACCUAGCAUUUCUGAGACCUGAGUUCAAUGUCCAACAGCUCAUGCACACACACAUGCACAGGAGAAAGAAGGGAAAGAAGCUACCCUUUUACUUAAAAAAUGUAUUUAUUUUUAUUUUAUGUGUGUGUGCCUGAGCUGCAAGUGCCCACUGAGUGCAGAAGAAAGUGUUGGAUCUCCUGAAACUGGAGUUACACGUGCUUGUGAGCCACCUGAUGUGCUGAGAGCGGUCCUUAGGCCUCUGCAAUAGCAGCAAGUCCUAUGUAAUGCCUCAUAAUGACUUUUGUUUAGACAACAAAUUAUUUUUUUAAGAUAUUUACACAAAUAAAAGAUAUUUUGAAAAUUCUUAUAGGGCUCGGGUAUGGCUACAUAAAGCCAUGGGUUCCAUCAUCAGUGCAAGAAGAAAUAAAUGAACUUAUAUUUAUCAAAUG
Long non-coding RNA from Mus musculus (house mouse), 887 nucleotides. RefSeq annotates it as RIKEN cDNA 5730405O15 gene. NCBI's taxonomy places the organism in Eukaryota, Metazoa, Chordata, Mammalia, Rodentia, Muridae. The transcript is spliced from 3 exons. The record is from RefSeq and is marked validated.